RNAcentral lists this ribosomal RNA (1529 nucleotides) under Klebsiella pneumoniae. Its description in RNAcentral is "bacterial SSU rRNA". It matches the Rfam family "Bacterial small subunit ribosomal RNA". Lineage: Bacteria; Pseudomonadati; Pseudomonadota; Gammaproteobacteria; Enterobacterales; Enterobacteriaceae. The record is from RNAcentral.
AGAGUUUGAUCAUGGCUCAGAUUGAACGCUGGCGGCAGGCCUAACACAUGCAAGUCGAGCGGUAGCACAGAGAGCUUGCUCUCGGGUGACGAGCGGCGGACGGGUGAGUAAUGUCUGGGAAACUGCCUGAUGGAGGGGGAUAACUACUGGAAACGGUAGCUAAUACCGCAUAACGUCGCAAGACCAAAGUGGGGGACCUUCGGGCCUCAUGCCAUCAGAUGUGCCCAGAUGGGAUUAGCUAGUAGGUGGGGUAAUGGCUCACCUAGGCGACGAUCCCUAGCUGGUCUGAGAGGAUGACCAGCCACACUGGAACUGAGACACGGUCCAGACUCCUACGGGAGGCAGCAGUGGGGAAUAUUGCACAAUGGGCGCAAGCCUGAUGCAGCCAUGCCGCGUGUGUGAAGAAGGCCUUCGGGUUGUAAAGCACUUUCAGCGGGGAGGAAGGCGUUAAGGUUAAUAACCUUGGCGAUUGACGUUACCCGCAGAAGAAGCACCGGCUAACUCCGUGCCAGCAGCCGCGGUAAUACGGAGGGUGCAAGCGUUAAUCGGAAUUACUGGGCGUAAAGCGCACGCAGGCGGUCUGUCAAGUCGGAUGUGAAAUCCCCGGGCUCAACCUGGGAACUGCAUUCGAAACUGGCAGGCUAGAGUCUUGUAGAGGGGGGUAGAAUUCCAGGUGUAGCGGUGAAAUGCGUAGAGAUCUGGAGGAAUACCGGUGGCGAAGGCGGCCCCCUGGACAAAGACUGACGCUCAGGUGCGAAAGCGUGGGGAGCAAACAGGAUUAGAUACCCUGGUAGUCCACGCCGUAAACGAUGUCGAUUUGGAGGUUGUGCCCUUGAGGCGUGGCUUCCGGAGCUAACGCGUUAAAUCGACCGCCUGGGGAGUACGGCCGCAAGGUUAAAACUCAAAUGAAUUGACGGGGGCCCGCACAAGCGGUGGAGCAUGUGGUUUUAAUUCGAUGCAACGCGAAGAACCUUACCUGGUCUUGACAUCCACAGAACUUUCCAGAGAUGGAUUGGUGCCUUCGGGAACUGUGAGACAGGUGCUGCAUGGCUGUCGUCAGCUCGUGUUGUGAAAUGUUGGGUUAAGUCCCGCAACGAGCGCAACCCUUAUCCUUUGUUGCCAGCGGUUAGGCCGGGAACUCAAAGGAGACUGCCAGUGAUAAACUGGAGGAAGGUGGGGAUGACGUCAAGUCAUCAUGGCCCUUACGACCAGGGCUACACACGUGCUACAAUGGCAUAUACAAAGAGAAGCGACCUCGCGAGAGCAAGCGGACCUCAUAAAGUAUGUCGUAGUCCGGAUUGGAGUCUGCAACUCGACUCCAUGAAGUCGGAAUCGCUAGUAAUCGUAGAUCAGAAUGCUACGGUGAAUACGUUCCCGGGCCUUGUACACACCGCCCGUCACACCAUGGGAGUGGGUUGCAAAAGAAGUAGGUAGCUUAACCUUCGGGAGGGCGCUUACCACUUUGUGAUUCAUGACUGGGGUGAAGUCGUAACAAGGUAACCGUAGGGGAACCUGCGGUUGGAUCACCU